Molecule: long non-coding RNA, 494 nt
Organism: Cyprinus carpio carpio
Lineage: Eukaryota; Metazoa; Chordata; Actinopteri; Cypriniformes; Cyprinidae
Source: Ensembl
UGAAAUCAAAGAUAUUUACAGUAUUAGUGCCAAUUCAGUAUGAAAACAGAGAGAGAGAGAGAGCUGAGGGAGUGGAAAGAAAUGCAUGUUAUUGUGCAAGGGGUAGUGGCAUGGACUAUCAGUGGAGCAACAGAAAGCUCUGAGAUUUCAUUCUAAAGAUCUUCAUUUGUGUUCUGAAGAUGAACGAAAGACUUGCGGGUUUGGAACGAUAUGAGGACUACAUCCAAAAUAGUGUUUCCACAUCUGAGAUAAAGGCAGUCAUAAGACCCCAGCGGAACGAUGAGGAUAAGCUCUUCAAAGAAUGAAACAUAAUGAUGGAAGAAAUGUGCAUGAUUGCAUGAUUUGUAAAUAAACAUUAAGCACAUUUAGUGUAACUCUCAGCCUGUUAUUUUAAGUUUAAAGAAAAUAAAAUCAUUUAUUGUUGCACUGCUGUUUGAGACAUUCACUGUUGUUCAUUAUAUUGCAGUUGUGUGCAAAUAAAACUUAUUCUGAAU